UUAUAAGCAAACCAGUAUAAAAUCAUUGUGUGGUUUUCAUUUUGAAAAAGCGCUUAUUUUUCCAAACAAUUCAAACCCCCCCUUUCUUGUUUUUCUCACCUUCAGACCUUACUUAAGUGUGUAAGAGGUGCGUCGAGAAAUGCAUCUCCAAAAACAGAGGACAUUUGUAAAAAUUCAUGUGGUGCAGUAAAAAGAUCUAACAUGCUUUAAGAAAUUCCCUAAAUUACUUUGAAAAAA
Molecule: long non-coding RNA, 237 nt
Filed under: Lathyrus oleraceus (garden pea)
Lineage: Eukaryota; Viridiplantae; Streptophyta; Magnoliopsida; Fabales; Fabaceae
Description: Pisum sativum (pea) long non-coding RNA (PSAT_LNC001908)
Source: RNAcentral